AGUCGCACGGACUAGUUCUGCUAGUUAGUGGCGGACGGGUGAGUAACGCGUAGGUGACCUGCCCCAAAGUCGGGGACAACCAGGAGAAAUCCUGGCUAAUCCUCGAUGUGAACCUCGGUCCUGACCGAGGUUCAAAGCUUCGGCGCUUUGGGAUGGGCCUGCGUUGGAUCAGGUAGUUGGUGAGGUAAUGGCUCACCAAGCCGACGACCCAUAGCUGGUCUGAGAGGACGACCAGCCACAGGGGUACUGAGACACGGACCCCACUCCUACGGGAGGCAGCAGUUAGGAAUCUUCCCCAAUGGGCGAAAGCCUGAGGGAGCGAUACCGCUUGAACGACGAAGCCCUUCGGGGUGUAAAGUUCCGAAGCAGGGACGAUAAUGACGGUACCUGCGUAAUAGCACCGGCUAACUCCGUGCCAGCAGCCGCGGUAAUACGGAGGGUGCGAGCGUUACCCGGAUUUACUGGGUGUAAAGGGCGUGUAGGCGGUCUCUCAAGUCCGAUGCUAAAGACCGAGGCUCAACCUCGGGAGUGCGUUGGAUACUGUGAGGCUAGACGGUCGGAGAGGGCAGCGGAAUUCUCGGAGUAGCGGUGAAAUGCGCAGAUACCGAGAGGAACGCCAAUAGCGAAGGCAGCUGCCUGGAUGAUUUGUGACGCUGAGGCGCGAAAGCGUGGGGAGCAAACCGGAUUAGAUACCCGGGUAGUCCACGCCCUAAACGUUGAGUGCUGGGUGUCCCGGCUUUAGCUGGGUGCCGAAGCUAACGCGAUAAGCACUCCACCUGGAAGUACGGUCGCAGACUGAAACUCAAAGGAAUUGACGGGGCCC
RNAcentral lists this ribosomal RNA (823 nucleotides) under uncultured bacterium. RNAcentral describes it as "bacterial SSU rRNA". It matches the Rfam family "Bacterial small subunit ribosomal RNA", at positions 60 to 921 of the family's 1533-position model. The record is from RNAcentral.